GUACCCUUAGCUCAGUUGGUUAGAGCAGACGGCUCAUAACCGUCCGGUCGUAGGUUCGAGUCCUGCGGGGUACG
Molecule: transfer RNA, 74 nt
Filed under: Enterococcus gilvus
Lineage: Bacteria; Bacillati; Bacillota; Bacilli; Lactobacillales; Enterococcaceae
Also listed under: 1 other name
Description: tRNA-Ile
Rfam family: tRNA
About the family: Transfer RNA (tRNA) molecules are approximately 80 nucleotides in length. Their secondary structure includes four short double-helical elements and three loops (D, anti-codon, and T loops).
Source: RNAcentral